AGCGGGAUGAGCUCAAAUUUGUAAUCUGGCGGCCUCUGGCCGUCCGAGUUGUAGUCUGGAGAAGCGUUUUCCGCGUCGGACCGUGUACAAGUCCCUUGGAACAGGGCGUCGUAGAGGGUGAGAAUCCCGUCUUUGACACGGACUGCCGACGCUUUGUGAUGCGCUCUCGAAGAGUCGAGUUGUUUGGGAAUGCAGCUCAAAACGGGUGGUAAAUUCCAUCUAAAGCUAAAUAUGGGCGAAAGACCGAUAGCGAACAAGUACCGUGAGGGAAAGAUGAAAAGCACUUUGGAAAGAGAGUUAAACAGUACGUGAAAUUGUUGAAAGGGAAACGCUUGAAGUCAGUCGCGUCUCCUGGGACUCAGCCUUGCUUCUGCUCGGUGUACUUCCUGGGACGACGGGCCAGCAUCGAUUUUGACCGUCGGAGAAAGGCCUUGGGAACGUGGCACCUUUGGGUGUGUUAUAGCCCUCGGUCGUAUGCGACGGUCGGGAUCGAGGACCGCAGCACGCCUUUUUGGCCGGGGUUCGCCCACGUACGUGCUUAGGAUGCUGGCGUAAUGGCUUUAAGCGACCCGUCUUGAAACACGGACCAAGGAGUCUAACAUGCCUGCGAGUGUUUGGGUGGUAAACCCGGACGCGAAAUGAAAGUGAAAAGUUGGGACCUCUGUCGUGGAGGGCACCGACGCCCGGACCAGACCUUCUGUGACGGUUCCGAGGUAGAGCAUGCAUGCUGGGACCCGAAAGAUGGUGA
Molecule: ribosomal RNA, 748 nt
Filed under: Ramaria villosa
Lineage: Eukaryota; Fungi; Basidiomycota; Agaricomycetes; Gomphales; Gomphaceae
Description: Gautieria villosa partial large subunit ribosomal RNA
Rfam family: Eukaryotic large subunit ribosomal RNA
Source: RNAcentral